CCUACGGGGGGCAGCAGUGGGGAAUAUUGGACAAUGGGCGAAAGCCUGAUCCAGCCAUGCCGCGUGUGUGAAGAAGGCCUUCGGGUUGUAAAGCACUUUCAGUGGGGAAGAAAGCCUUGGGGCUAAUACCCUCGAGGAAGGACAUCACCCACAGAAGAAGCACCGGCUAACUCCGUGCCAGCAGCCGCGGUAAUACGGAGGGUGCGAGCGUUAAUCGGAAUUACUGGGCGUAAAGCGCGCGUAGGCGGUCUGUUAAGCCGGUUGUGAAAGCCCCGGGCUCAACCUGGGAACGGCAUCCGGAACUGUCAGGCUAGAGUGCAGGAGAGGAAGGUAGAAUUCCCGGUGUAGCGGUGAAAUGCGUAGAGAUCGGGAGGAAUACCAGUGGCGAAGGCGGCCUUCUGGACUGACACUGACGCUGAGGUGCGAAAGCGUGGGUAGCAAACAGGAUUAGAUACCCUAGUAGUC
This 465-nucleotide ribosomal RNA is filed under the name Vreelandella stevensii. Its description in RNAcentral is "partial 16S ribosomal RNA". It matches the Rfam family "Bacterial small subunit ribosomal RNA", at positions 338 to 795 of the family's 1533-position model. The record is from RNAcentral. Lineage: Bacteria; Pseudomonadati; Pseudomonadota; Gammaproteobacteria; Oceanospirillales; Halomonadaceae.